CAGACCUCCCUGAACUCGUUGAAUUUCCUAAAAUUUCCUUCUUUUAGUUCCAAAUUUACAUUGAAAAAGAACCUGUAGGAGGAAAAAGGAAAAGGAACAAGUUUUGCCAAGGAGCUCAGGGUUGCAGACCUUCGCUUCAAGUCGUGGUUCACAAAUUUCCAAAAUCAAACUCGGUGCUCUCUCUAUUGAGCGUAAAAGGAGCGACUUUCCCCUGCCAAAGAUAUAGUAGCCCAACGAAUUCUUAUUCCAACUUUCAGCCAAGCUAAGGCUGCAGCAGUUUCGACUUUCAAUCAGAGGGUCUCUCAUGCAUUGUCGAAGGAAGAGCAAUCGUUCAAGUUGCCGAACCCCAACCCCGGGGAGUCGAGACGAACACUGCCUUUGUCCUGCCCCAGCAGUAAUCUUUCUCUCACCAUUACUUAGCCCCAGAUUCUUUCGACAUCCAUUUCUUCUUUCUUUCUCGUUCGUUCAACCACAAUCAGUGAUAACUAACUUCUGGGAUUGAAUGGAUGGUGGAUCUCUUGGUAGAAUACUUGGUUCUUGAUAUGGGUACAAGGACAUGCAGUCAAAGGAUUUUCCAUUUGUGUUGUUUUGAUGAUUGAAGAUAAUAGGGAAGACAACGGCAAAGCUAGUGGCUGUAGUGGAGGACACUGAAUGAUUGAAUGUGGCGGCGGUGAUGAACUGAUGAUUGGAACUGAUGAUUGGAGAUGGGAAGCGGCUUUUUUAUUUAUAAAAAAAAAAAAAAAGAAGGAAGGUUUAAGAGCGGGCAUGUUAGGAUAGUCAGUUGAAUAUUUUUGCUUACAUCUGCAAAUUGGGCUGUUUCUGUUACCAGAAACAUGAAAAUAGGUGUAAUUACUAUAAUUAGAGCUGAGGGGCACUGAGGUUUCUCAAAUUAUCCCUAAAGAGAAAAGAGAACGUAGAAGACCAUAGCAUCAAACCCCUCUACUUUACUCUAUAGUUAUUUGAUUUUAACACUCAAACAUUUGCUUCCUUCUUACUUGGAAAGCGUGCUGUCUUCUUAUACAUAGAAGUGACUUUGGAUAUAGUCCCUUGCAACCUCAGAUUCUUCUUCCAAUACUUGAGAUGAAAUGUGAGAAAGUGGUCUCAGGAGCACUAAAAUUUGAACAAUAAAAUGAUUUUAUAGAUGAGCCAAUUGGGACAAUCACAGGAUGAAAGUAUAGCUAUGUUGUUGCUAUCAUCAAAUGAAUAGACUGCAACAAAAAACCCAGACAAGUUCGAAAUGUUUCUCACAGUUCUGAGCAAAGUUUGUGUACACAAGGUUAUCUCCAAAGUGCACACUGUUGAGAAUAUAGCAACUCAACGUUAACUCCAAAAUGUAAACAAGAAAUAGGCUGGUACAGUUAAUUAAAGAGACCCCC
Molecule: long non-coding RNA, 1376 nt
Organism: Coffea arabica (coffee)
Lineage: Eukaryota; Viridiplantae; Streptophyta; Magnoliopsida; Gentianales; Rubiaceae
Source: RefSeq, a predicted model, not a curated record